This 672-nucleotide ribosomal RNA is filed under the name uncultured bacterium. RNAcentral's name for it is "bacterial SSU rRNA". It matches the Rfam family "Bacterial small subunit ribosomal RNA", at positions 72 to 737 of the family's 1533-position model. The record is from RNAcentral.
GAAGAAGCUUGCUUCUUUGCUGACGAGUGGCGGACGGGUGAGUAAUGUCUGGGAAACUGCCUGAUGGAGGGGGAUAACUACUGGAAACGGUAGCUAAUACCGCAUAACGUCGCAAGACCAAAGAGGGGGACCUUCGGGCCUCUUGCCAUCGGAUGUGCCCAGAUGGGAUUAGCUUGUUGGUGGGGUAACGGCUCACCAAGGCGACGAUCCCUAGCUGGUCUGAGAGGAUGACCAGCCACACUGGAACUGAGACACGGUCCAGACUCCUACGGGAGGCAGCAGUGGGGAAUAUUGCACAAUGGGCGCAAGCCUGAUGCAGCCAUGCCGCGUGUAUGAAGAAGGCCUUCGGGUUGUAAAGUACUUUCAGCGGGGAAGAAGGGAGUAAAGUUAAUACCUUUGCUCAUUGACGUUACCCGCAGAAGAAGCACCGGCUAACUCCGUGCCAGCAGCCGCGGUAAUACGGAGGGUGCAAGCGUUAAUCGGAAUUACUGGGCGUAAAGCGCACGCAGGCGGUUUGUUAAGUCAGAUGUGAAAUCCCCGGGCUCAACCUGGGAACUGCAUCUGAUACUGGCAAGCUUGAGUCUCGUAGAGGGGGGUAGAAUUCCAGGUGUAGCGGUGAAAUGCGUAGAGAUCUGGAGGAAUACCGGUGGCGAAGGCGGCCCCCUGGACGAA